This 73-nucleotide transfer RNA is filed under the name Mustela putorius furo (domestic ferret). It matches the Rfam family "tRNA". From Rfam's summary of the family: Transfer RNA (tRNA) molecules are approximately 80 nucleotides in length. Lineage: Eukaryota; Metazoa; Chordata; Mammalia; Carnivora; Mustelidae. The record is from Rfam by way of RNAcentral.
ACCCAGCUGGCUCAGCUGUUAGAGCAUGGGACUCUUGGUCUCCAGGCAGGGAGUUCAAGCCCCGUGCUGGGUG